GAUGAACGCUGGCGGCGCGCCUAACACAUGCAAGUCGAACGAUUAAAGCACCUUCGGGUGUGUAUAAAGUGGCGAACGGCUGAGUAACACGUGGGCAACCUGCCCCUUUCAUUGGGAUAGCCACGGGAAACCGUGGAUAAUACCGAAUACUUCGAGACUUCCGCAUGGAAGACUCGAGAAAGCUCCGGCGGAGAGGGAUGGGCCCGCGGCCUGUUAGCUUGUUGGUGGGGUAACGGCCUACCAAGGCAAUGAUGGGUAGCUGGGUUGAGAGACCGACCAGCCAGAUUGGGACUGAGACACGGCCCAGACUCCUACGGGAGGCAGCAGUGGGGAAUCUUGCACAAUGGGCGAAAACCUGAUGCAGCGACGCCGCGUGCGGGAUGAAGGCCUUCGGGUUGUAAACCGCUUCCAGCAGGGACGAGGCGAAAGUGACGGUACCUGCAGAAGAAGCCCCGGCUAACUACGUG
Molecule: ribosomal RNA, 467 nt
Filed under: uncultured bacterium
Lineage: Bacteria
Description: partial 16S ribosomal RNA
Rfam family: Bacterial small subunit ribosomal RNA
Source: RNAcentral